This 281-nucleotide ribosomal RNA is filed under the name Staphylococcus aureus. RNAcentral describes it as "partial 16S ribosomal RNA". It matches the Rfam family "Bacterial small subunit ribosomal RNA", at positions 349 to 622 of the family's 1533-position model. Lineage: Bacteria; Bacillati; Bacillota; Bacilli; Caryophanales; Staphylococcaceae. The record is from RNAcentral.
CAGCAGUAGGGAAUCUUCCGCAAUGGGCGAAAGCCUGACGGAGCAACGCCGCGUGAGUGAUGAAGGUCUUCGGAUCGUAAAACUCUGUUAUUAGGGAAGAACAUAUGUGUAAGUAACUGUGCACAUCUUGACGGUACCUAGUCAGAAAGCCACGGCUAACUACGUGCCAGCAGCCGCGGUAAUACGUAGGUGGCAAGCGUUAUCCGGAAUUAUUGGGCGUAAAGCGCGCGUAGGCGGUUUUUUAAGUCUGAUGUGAAAGCCCACGGCUCAACCGUGGAGGG